GGGUAGGUGGCGGAAUCAAGGUAGACGCGGUAGGUUUAGAACCUACUGCCAAUUUUUGGCGUGUGGGUUCGAAUCCCACCCUACCCA
RNAcentral lists this transfer RNA (87 nucleotides) under Candidatus Parcubacteria bacterium. Its description in RNAcentral is "tRNA-Leu". It matches the Rfam family "tRNA". From Rfam's summary of the family: Transfer RNA (tRNA) molecules are approximately 80 nucleotides in length. Their secondary structure includes four short double-helical elements and three loops (D, anti-codon, and T loops). Lineage: Bacteria; Candidatus Parcubacteria. The record is from RNAcentral.